UACGUAGGGAACAAGCGUUGUCCGGAUUUACUGGGUGUAAAGGGUGCGUAGGCGGCUUUGCAAGUCAGAUGUGAAAUCUAUGGGCUCAACCCAUAAACUGCAUUUGAAACUGUAGAGCUUGAGUGAAGUAGAGGCAGGCGGAAUUCCCCGUGUAGCGGUGAAAUGCGUAGAGAUGGGGAGGAACACCAGUGGCGAAGGCGGCCUGCUGGGCUUUAACUGACGCUGAGGCACGAAAGCGUGGGUAGCAAACAGG
RNAcentral lists this ribosomal RNA (253 nucleotides) under Ruminococcus bromii. Its description in RNAcentral is "partial 16S ribosomal RNA". It matches the Rfam family "Bacterial small subunit ribosomal RNA", at positions 524 to 776 of the family's 1533-position model. The record is from RNAcentral. Lineage: Bacteria; Bacillati; Bacillota; Clostridia; Eubacteriales; Oscillospiraceae.